Molecule: RNA transcript, 11812 nt
Organism: Musca domestica (house fly)
Lineage: Eukaryota; Metazoa; Arthropoda; Insecta; Diptera; Muscidae
Exons: 7
Source: RefSeq, a predicted model, not a curated record
UUUAUUACUUCGCGCCCUUUCAAAUAAAAUUAUUGUAUAGGGAGCAAUAAAUUGAUUUUGUUCUCUUCUUUUGCUAUUUAUCGAUUCGAUUUUGAGAUUGUAUCGACUUUCGACACAACAUUAUGUAACCGCGGCCCUGCAUCAAACAUACAAACGGUGAUCGUUGAUGUCAUUGGUCGUGCUACAUUAUAGGUGUGUCUGGUUACUUUUCCAGCAAGAAUUGUCCAGCAACUUCUUUCUGAGAGAGUAAGGUAGUUUAUUCUCUUUUGCAAGGAAAAUGCGAAAAGUAAACAGACGAUAUUCCUGCAGAAGCUUGCAACUAAUCAGCUGAUUUAUCAAAACAAACCAAUUUGUCCCCCAUAAGGAGAAUUAAAACAAAGGAACCAAUACUAAUUUUACAAGUUUUUUAAAUAAAAAUGUUGGAAAUAGUCUUUUAUUUUCUUAUUACAUAUUAACAUUUACGUUUUUCACAUUUUGUAAAGUUGUUCUCCAAAAACAAUUAGUCUUGCUUAUUCCAAAACAAUAUUUUAAAACUAAAAUCACAAAAAGAAGUAAAUAAACAAUAGAAAACAUCUGAUUGAAUGUCGAUGAAUGAGAAGAAGAAGAGUUGCAAGAGAUUGCAAGAAGAAAUUUUUCCAGCAAGAAUUUGCAAACUCUAGCUGAAAGAACUGUCAAAAUUUCUCUCUCCAACCGCUCUCUUUUGCAGAACUUUCGGGUUAACAGACGACUUCCAGUAACAAUUUGUAACAAUUGUUACAAACUUUAGGGUAACCAGACACACCUUAUGUCGAAAAUAUAUUUCCAUAACCCUGUUACUCAAAAUCGAAUUAAAUAGCAAAACAAAGAACAAAAUCAAUUUCGUGUUCCCUAUACAAUAAUUUUAUUUUAACAUUAGAACAAAAUCAACGUAAAUGGAUAAUGUUUGGAAAAUAUUGACCAUUUGCAGUGUUUCUCACAAUGAAAAUCUUGCUUACCUGAGGAGUAAAAUGAAAUCAAAUGCCAGGAAGCUCAGUUCAUCAAAAUUCAAUGGAAAGUAUUUUUUCAUGUUUAAAAACUACCUACAAUUGUGCGGAAUUUAAGAAACACUUCGCUUGGAGUACCUGAAAUCAUUGGAUCAAAAGAAGAAAAUCAUGGAAAUGACGAGUGCCCAUAUGCUGCUUGUCUUCAAGAGUUUAUUGAAAUUCAUGAUUUGAGUACAAACUUUUUUGCUUGUUGCGUAUUAAUGUGUGUUUUGAUCAAUUUAUCAACAUCCAAAUUAUGUUAUAAAACAGUGAUAAAAAAUUUUGGAUUAUUGUUCUUAAAAGAAACAAAACACUGUUGUGUUGUUCUUAAAAAUGCAUAUGGUUAUUUCCCAUAUACUUUCGGUGACCAAUAAUUUUGGUUGAAAAUAGAGUACAUCGGCUGAAAAGUUGCGACCCCAUAUAGGACAAAAAUAAAUGUAAAUUAUUUGGAGCUACACUUGAAUAGUGGAAACCCACCUGUCUAACACCCAAAAAAUCUUUAUUUAAAUUCCUGACCAGAAUAUCACAAACCGGGUGCUCUGCUCAUAAGUCUUAUUUAUGUCUUUGUGUUUGCGGAAGUCCAUGCACUUAUAUAUGCAUUAUUAUACCCUCCACCAUACAUAGUAUGGAGGGUAUAUUAAGUUUGUCAUUCCGUUUGUAACACCUCGAAAUAUACAUUUUAGACCCCACAAAGUAUAUAUAUUCUUGAUCAGCGUAAAAUAAGUUUACUCUAUUAUAGUGAACAGUACUUUUUUUGGUUUGCGUUCCAUAUUUUAUUAACGUACUUUAUGUGUCCUCUUUUUUAUUGCUGGUUCUCGUUGUCCACUAUGUUGAUUUGUUUAAAGUCAUAGAAGCGCAGGUGAGGUUUUAAAUGAAGAAAAUCGUUAAGACAGUAAGUAGUAAUUUCGGCCGUGCCGAACUAUUUAUACCCUUAACCACUAUGUUUAUCAAUGUUGAUUGUGGCAGAAACUUUCAAAAUACCGAAAUUCGGGAGGUACCGAUGUAUGGGGGCUAUACGGAAACGGGGACCAGCAUAGGCAAUUUUCUAUCAUAGGCUGUAAUACCCAUUUCGGACUUCAAAUACGAAAUUUGGAACAGUUCCGGUUAAUAAUGUCGCUAAAAUCAUCAAAAUACCGAAUAUCGGGAUGUACCGUUAUAUGGGUGCUAUACGAAGCCGUGGACCUGAAUGUGCAAUUUUGUGUCAUAUGCUGUAGAACCUAUUCCGAACUUCAUAUACGAAAUUUGGAACAGUUCCGGUUAAUAUGUAGCUUAAAUCAUCGAAAUACCGAAUAUUGGGAGGUACAGUUAUAUGGGAGCUAUACGAAAACGUGGGCCGACAUGGCCCAUUUACGAACUUAACAUGCCUACUGACAAAAUAAACAUGUGUGCAAAAUUUUAACCUUCUAUCUCAUUUCGUUCGAAUGAUAGCGUAAUUACAACAGACAGACAGACGGACAUCGAUAAAUCGACUUAGAAUUUUACGAUGAUCCAAAAUAUAUAUACUUUGUGGGGUCUAACAUGAGAAUUUCGAGGAGUUACAAACGGAAUGACAAACUUAAUAUACCCUCCAUAGUAUGGCGGAGGGUAUAAAAACACUUUCUAUUAAAGUUUCGAUUUUAACACUUAGGCAGAAAAGGAAACUUGUUGAACUAAGUUUUAAUAACAGCAGCAUUUGGGGUAAUUGGGACCAGGCAAGGCUAAAUUCAAUCAAACAAAAUAAUGCACAUAUAAGUGCAUUCACUCUUAUGAUCAGUGCACACGAUCCAUAUAUAGGCCGACUCUUAUCGCGGAGUUCGUACGGCGCGACAUUCAAAACCUCAUAGAGAGAGGUUUGUGAUAUUCUGGUCAGGAAUUUAAAUCCGUGCCAGACAGGUAGGCUUUCCACUAUUCCAAAUAAUUUACAUUUAUUUUUGUCCUACAUGGGGUCACAACUUUUGAGUCGAUGUCUAAAUGUACUCUAUUUUCAACCAAAAAUGUUGGUCACCGUAAGAAUAGAUGAAAUAACCAUAUACAUUUUUAAAAACAACACAAAAAUUUUUGGUUUUAUUUUACUAAUAAAUAUUCAUAAAAUAUUAUUACUGUUUUUAAAACAUAAUUUGGAUGUUAUUGAAAAAUUGAUCAAAACACACAUUAAUGAAGUGUUCCUUAAAUUCCGCACAAGGUGUAGGUAGUUUUUAACAAAUAUAAAAAACCUGCAAAAGAAAAAUGCUUAAUAUUUGCAAACGAUGAUCAACGAACAUGCACUUAAACUUUCCAUUUGAAUUUCGAUGAACUGGGCCUCCUGGCAUUUGAUUUUAUUUUACUCCUCAGGUAAGCAAGAUUUUCAUUGUGAAAAACACUGUAAAUGGUCAAUAUUUUUCAAACGUUAUCCAUUUACGUAUAUUUUGUUCCAAUGUUUUGUUUAUUACUUCGCGCCCUUUCAAAUAAAAUUAUUGUAUAGGGAGCAAUAAAUUGAUUUUGUUCUCUUCUUUUGCUAUUUAUCGAUUCGAUUUUGAGAUUGUAUCGACUUUCGACACAACAUUAUGUAACCGCGGCCCUGCAUCAAACAUACAAACGGUGAUCGUUGAUGUCAUUGGUCGUGCUACAUUAUAGGUGUGUCUGGUUACUUUUCCAGCAAGAAUUGUCCAGCAACUUCUUUCUGAGAGAGUAAGGUAGUUUAUUCUCUUUUGCAAGGAAAAUGCGAAAAGUAAACAGACGAUAUUCCUGCAGAAGCUUGCAACUAAUCAGCUGAUUUAUCAAAACAAACCAAUUUGUCCCCCAUAAGGAGAAUUAAAACAAAGGAACCAAUACUAAUUUUACAAGUUUUUUAAAUAAAAAUGUUGGAAAUAGUCUUUUAUUUUCUUAUUACAUAUUAACAUUUACGUUUUUCACAUUUUGUAAAGUUGUUCUCCAAAAACAAUUAGUCUUGCUUAUUCCAAAACAAUAUUUUAAAACUAAAAUCACAAAAAGAAGUAAAUAAACAAUCUGAUUGAAUGUCGAUGAAUGAGAAGAAGAAGAGUUGCAAGAGAUUGCAAGAAGAAAUUUUUCCAGCAAGAAUUUGCAAACUCUAGCUGAAAGAACUGUCAAAAUUCCUCUCUCCAACCGCUCUCUUUUGCAGAACUUUCGGGUUAACAGACGACUUCCAGUAACAAUUUGUAACAAUUGUUACAAACUUUAGGGUAACCAGACACACCUUAUGUCGAAAAUAUAUUUCCAUAUCCCUGUUACUCAAAAUCGAAUUAAAUAGCAAAACAAAGAACAAAAUCAAUUUCGUGUUCCCUAUACAAUAAUUUUAUUUUAACAUUAGAACAAAAUCAACGUAAAUGGAUAAUGUUUGGAAAAUAUUGACCAUUUGCAGUGUUUCUCACAAUGAAAAUCUUGCUUACCUGAGGAGUAAAAUGAAAUCAAAUGCCAGGAAGCUCAGUUCAUCAAAAUUCAAUGGAAAGUAUUUUUUCAUGUUUAAAAAACUACCUACAAUUGUGCGGAAUUUAAGAAACACUUCGCUUGGAGUACCUGAAAUCAUUGGAUCAAAAGAAGAAAAUCAUGGAAAUGACGAGUGCCCAUAUGCUGCUUGUCUUCAAGAGUUUAUUGAAAUUCAUGAUUUGAGUACAAACUUUUUUGCUUUUUGCGUAUUAAUGUGUGUUUUGAUCAAUUUAUCAACAUCCAAAUUAUGUUAUAAAACAGUGAUAAAAAUUUUGGAUUAUUGUUCUUAAAAGAAACAAAACACUGUUGUGUUGUUCUUAAAUAUGCAUAUGGUUAUUUCCCAUAUACUUUCGGUGACCAAUAAUUUUGGUUGAAAAUAGAGUACAUCGGCUGAAAAGUUGCGACCCCAUAUAGGACAAAAAUAAAUGUAAAUUAUUUGGAGCUACACUUGAAUAGUGGAAACCCACCUGUCUAACACCCAAAAAAUCUUUAUUUAAAUUCCUGACCAGAAUAUCACAAACCGGGUGCUCUGCUCAUAAGUCUUAUUUAUGUCUUUGUGUUUGCGGGAGUCCAUGCACUUAUAUAUGCAUUAUUAUACCCUCCACCAUACAUAGUAUGGAGGGUAUAUUAAGUUUGUCAUUCCGUUUGUAACACCUCGAAAUAUACAUUUUAGACCCCACAAAGUAUAUAUAUUCUUGAUCAGCGUAAAAUUAGUUUACUCUAUUAUAGUGAACAGUACUUUUUUUGGUUUGCGUUCCAUAUUUUAUUAACGUACUUUAUGUGUCCUCUUUUUUAUUGCUGGUUCUCGUUGUCCACUAUGUUGAUUUGUUUAAAGUCAUAGAAGCGCAGGUGAGGUUUUAAAUGAAGAAAAUCGUUAAGACAGUAAGUAGUAAUUUCGGCCGUGCCGAACUAUUUAUACCCUUAACCACUAUGUUUAUCAAUGUUGAUUGUGGCAGAAACUUUCAAAAUACCGAAAUUCGGGAGGUACCGAUGUAUGGGGGCUAUACGGAAACGGGGACCAGCAUAGGCAAUUUUCUAUCAUAGGCUGUAAUACCCAUUUCGGACUUCAAAUACGAAAUUUGGAACAGUUCCGGUUAAUAAUGUCGCUAAAAUCAUCAAAAUACCGAAUAUCGGGAUGUACCGUUAUAUGGGUGCUAUACGAAGCCGUGGACCUGAAUGUGCAAUUUUGUGUCAUAUGCUGUAGAACCUAUUCCGAACUUCAUAUACGAAAUUUGGAACAGUUCCGGUUAAUAUGUAGCUUAAAUCAUCGAAAUACCGAAUAUUGGGAGGUACAGUUAUAUGGGAGCUAUACGAAAACGUGGGCCGACAUGAACGAACUUAACAUGCCUACUGACAAAAUAAACAUGUGUGCAAAAUUUUAGCCUUCUAUCUCAUUUCGUUCGAAUGAUAGCGUAAUUACAACAGACAGACAGACGGACAUCGAUAAAUCGACUUAGAAUUUUACGAUGAUCCAAAAUAUAUACACUUUGUGGGGUCUAACAUGAGAAUUUCGAGGAGUUACAAACGGAAUGACAAACUUAAUAUACCCUCCAUAGUAUGGCGGAGGGUAUAAAAACACUUUCUAUUAAAGUUUCGAUUUUAACACUUAGGCAGAAAAGGAAACUUGUUGAACUAAGUUUUAAUAACAGCAGCAUUUGGGGUAAUUGGGACCAGGCAAGGCUAAAUUCAAUCAAACAAAAUAAUGCACAUAUAAGUGCAUUCACUCUUAUGAUCAGUGCACACGAUCCAUAUAUAGGCCGACUCUUAUCGCGGAGUUCGUACGGCGCGACAUUCAAAACCUCAUAGAGAGAGAGACCCCACAAAGUAUAUAUAUUCUUGAUCAGCGUAAAAUUCUAUGUCGAUUUAUCGAUGUCCGUCCGUCCGUCCGUCUGUGGAAAUCACUCUUGCUUCCGAACGAAAUGACAUAGGUUGAUGAAAUUUUGCUCAGAUGUAUAUAAUGUGUGCAGGACUUUUGGCAUUGAAAAUGGGCCAUAUAGGUCGACGUCUUCGUAUAGCCCCCAUAUAACGGUACCUCCCGAUAUUCGGUAUUUUGAUGAUUUUAGCAAAAUUUUUCACCGGAAUUGUUUCAAAUUUCGUAUUUAAUUUUCGCAAUGGGUACUACAACCUAUGCCAGUAAAAUAUCUACGCAGAUCCACAUCUUCGGAUAGCCCCUAUAUAACGGUACCUCCCGAUAUUCGGUAUUUUGAUGAUUUUAGCGACAUUUUUCACCGGAAUUGUUUCAAAUUUCGUAUUUAAUUUUCUCAAUGGGUACUACAACCUAUGCCAGUAAAAUAUCUACGCAGAUCCACAUCUUCGGAUAGCCCCCAUAUAACGGUACCUCCCGAUAUUCGGUAUUUUGAUGAUUUUAGCGACAUUUUUCACCGGAAUUGUUUCAAAUUUCGUAUUUAAUUUUCACAAUGGGUACUACAACCUAUGACAGAAAAUGGCCUAUGUAGGUCCACAUCUUCGGAUAGCCCCCAUAUAACGGUACCUCCCGAUGUUCGGUAUUUUGGUGAUUUUAGCGACAUUUUUCACCGGAAUUGUUUCAAAUUUCGUAUUUAAUUUUCGCAAUGGGUACUACAACCUAUGACAGAAAAUGGACUAUGUAGGUCCACAUCUUCGGAUAGCCCCCAUAUAACGGUACCUCCCGAUGUUCGGUAUUUUGGUGAUUUUAGCGACAUUUUUCACCGGAAUUGUUUCAAAUUUCGCAUUUAAUAUUCGCAAUGGGUACUACAACCUAUGCCAGUAAAAUAUCUACGCAGAUCCACAUCUUCGGAUAGCCCCUAUAUAACGGUACCUCCCGAUAUUCGGUAUUUUGAUGAUUUUAGCGACAUUUUUCACCGGAAUUGUUUCAAAUUUCGUAUUUAAUUUUCUCAAUGGGUACUACAACCUAUGCCAGUAAAAUAUCUACGCAGAUCCACAUCUUCGGAUAGCCCCCAUAUAACGGUACCUCCCGAUAUUCGGUAUUUUGAUGAUUUUAGCGACAUUUUUCACCGGAAUUGUUUCAAAUUUCGUAUUUAAUUUUCGCAAUGGGUACUACAACCUAUGACAGAAAAUGGACUAUGUAGGUCCACAUCUUCGGAUAGCCCCCAUAUAACGGUACCUCCCGAUGUUCGGUAUUUUGGUGAUUUUAGCGACAUUUUUCACCGGAAUUGUUUCAAAUUUCGUAUUUAAUUUUCGCAAUGGGUACUACAACCUAUGACAGAAAAUGGACUAUGUAGGUCCACAUCUUCGGAUAGCCCCCAUAUAACGGUACCUCCCGAUGUUCGGUAUUUUGGUGAUUUUAGCGACAUUUUUCACCGGAAUUGUUUCAAAUUUCGCAUUUAAUAUUCGCAAUGGGUACUACAACCUAUGCCAGUAAAAUAUCUACGCAGAUCCACAUCUUCGGAUAGCCCCUAUAUAACGGUACCUCCCGAUAUUCGGUAUUUUGAUGAUUUUAGCGACAUUUUUCACCGGAAUUGUUUCAAAUUUCGUAUUUAAUUUUCUCAAUGGGUACUACAACCUAUGCCAGUAAAAUAUCUACGCAGAUCCACAUCUUCGGAUAGCCCCCAUAUAACGGUACCUCCCGAUAUUCGGUAUUUUGAUGAUUUUAGCGACAUUUUUCACCGGAAUUGUUUCAAAUUUCGUAUUUAAUUUUCGCAAUGGGUACUACAACCUAUGACAGAAAAUGGCCUAUGUAGGUCCACAUCUUCGGAUAGCCCCCAUAUAACGGUACCUCCCGAUGUUCGGUAUUUUGGUGAUUUUAGCGACAUUUUUCACCGGAAUUGUUUCAAAUUUCGCAUUUAAUAUUCGCAAUGGGUACUACAACCUAUGCCAGUAAAAUAUCUACGCAGAUCCACAUCUUCGGAUAGCCCCCAUAUAACGGUACCUCCCGAUGUUCGGUAUUUUGGUGAUUUUAGCGACAUUUUCGCCAGAAUUGUUUCAAAUUUCGCAUUUAAUAUUCGCAAUGGGUACUACAACCUAUCUAUGCAGGUCCACAUCUUCGCUUAGCCCCCAUAUAACGGUAUCUCCCGAUAUUCUGUAUUUUUUCAUUUUAGCUUUAUUUUUCGACGGAUUUUUUAAAAUUUCAAAUUCCUUCUAAAUGAUGGAGGGUAUUAAAGGUUCGGCCCGGCCGAAAUUGGCUGCUUAUUUACUUGUUUUGUGUAAAUAAUUCAGCCUUUCCUGGUCCAAACUACCCCAAAUGCUGCUGUUAUUAAAAUUUAGUUCAACAAGUUUCCUUUUCUGCCUAAGUGUUAAAACCGAAAUUUUAAUAGAAUGUGUUUAUACCCUACACCACAUAGUGGUAAGGGUAUUAUGUAUUUGUGAAUUUGUUGGUAACAGAGAGAAAUAAGCGAGAUAGACCCAUGGUUACUUUUGAAGGUAUUCAUAGAAUCAUUUUUUAAAUCGAUUUAUGCAUGUCCGUCCAGGUAUUCUUGUGAACAAAAUGCAGGUCGUAUUUAUUAUCCGAUUGAGAUGUAAUUUUGCAAACAAUGUUUGUUUGGUUUGGAUCAGAUUUAGAUAUAGCUCCCAUAUAUAUCUUCAUCCGAUUUUUGGUUUAUUGUGCACAACCUGUGCAAUAAUACCCCAAAUGGGAUGAAAUUUGGCAAAUGUAGCCGAUGUACACCAAGAAUUAACUCUGCGGGAUUUGGUGAAAAUCGGAUGUGAUUUAGAUAUAGCUCCCACAUAUAUCUUGAUCCGAUUUUUUGUUUAUUGUGCACAGCCUGUGCAAUAUCAGCCCAAAGGGGAUGAACUUUAGCACAUGUAGUCGGUGUACACCAAGAAUUAACUCUAUGAAAUUUGGUGAAAAUCGGAUCUGAUUCAGAUAUAGCUCCCAUAUAUAACUUCAUCCGAGUUUUGAUGCAUUGUGCACCAAAUGUGCAAAUUAGCCCAAAAGGCAUGAAAUUUGACACAUAAGGUCGAGUGAAGGCUAUAAAAACCCAAUGCAAUUUUGUGCACAUAACAGCAGUGGUGUAGGGUGUCAUAUAGUCGGCUCCGUCCGGGUUGAUGUUGGGCUGUAGGUGAGUUCUAAGGCUGGAUUUUUGACGUUUGGAAGGGUACGAAAAGCAACCGAGAAGAGCUACAGCUCUGCAAUUUGGAUACAGCGUCACCGAUGGUGUGUAGGAUAGAUGUGACAAAUCGUUUUUGGAAAUUUGUACCAAAAGGGUACGAAAACUUCUAAUAUGUACUUUAAAUGUUACUAUUCGUAUGUUAUGAAUGAAUGGAUCUAGAAUCGUCGAAUUUGGUAUGAGAAUCAAUAAUGGAAAGCUCUCUAUAGUUAUAUAAAGAAGUUUUGGAAAACGAGAGCAAUAAGUGUUGGAAUACUUCUAAAUAGGAUAUAAUUGUUGAGUAGAGAAAGGUGGGUGGAUAUAUGGAGAUGUUUUAAAAAACGAGUACCAUAAUUGACCAAAAAGUACUUAAUAAUGUACAAUUCGAACGUAAAUAUAAUGAGUGGAGGUGGAAAUUCGUAAUUUUGUGUUAGGGUGGAAAGGUAGAGAUCUUUUGGAAAAGGAGUAUCAUAAGAGUUGCAAAAGUACUGAAUAUGGUAGAGAUGCAAAUCGAAAUGUUGUGUUAGAUGGAUAUAUGGAAAUGUUUUGAAAAAAGGGUACCAUUACUGUUGGAAAAGUACUAUAUAAGGUAUAAUUUAAUAGUAAAUGAAGGAGUAGUGUUGAAAAUCCGAAAGUAUAUGAACUUAGCCAUAUUGAGUGACUACAAAUCGCAUUUUUUUCUGACGUUGGAAUAUAUUUAGGGAAUAAUAGAUUGGGUGGUCUAAUCCCAUUUUUGAUGGCGAAUUCAGAAAUCUCACACCUCCAAAUGGGACAACAGUGGACCCAAAAGUAUAUGGACUUAGCCAUAUUGGGUGAAAAUGAAUUCAAAUCGGAAUUUUUUUACUUUUGCUUAAUUCAGAGUUCCGAUUUGCUUGCGAGCGAUUAUUACUCGCUCGAGGAAGCGAUCAAAAAGUGAGAGCGAUUGCUCCAGUUUCGCUUUCCGAUCGAAUUCGUGCAAGAAACACAGAGUAUGUUUAUGCUCUGCUUAGCAUAUUUUAUCGUUAAAUUAUUUUUUGUAAAGGAAGAAAAGAUUGAAGACGCGUAUUUGAAAAUGAAUCUAUAAUAAUUAUUAGUCCCAAUUUUUUUUACUUUAAUUUUACGUAUUCUUCAAUAGAUGUAAAAUAACCCUCUCUAUAAAACAAAACUUAAAACUUUUAUUUUAUUAGUUAAUUUUUUAAAAUUUCGUUGAAAGUUUUUUUUUUAGUUCAACAUGUUUUCCCUAGUAAAGUUUGACAAUGACGGUGACUUCUAUGUUGUCAAAACAAAAGACGUGAAGCAUCACAAUUCCGACAAUUGUAUUGUAAAGUAUAAAGGCUGUUCGUACUCCGCAACUUUCAUUAAAGCUGACGAUAAUAAAGAAAAUCUUGAAGAGAAGAAACAAAGUGAGAAUUUAAUGGGGACAAUAAACGCGGAGAAUCAAGAAACACAAAUAGCACCAAGAAUUCCUGCGAGCCGUGGUCGUGCUUAUCAAAAUAUUUCACCGUCGACAAUGUUAUACAUGAAAGAGUAUAUAAAAAAUCUACCUCCACUAGGAUCAAACAGAUCAGAUAAAGAGCCUAUGUCUUCAGUCACUAUACAUGGUGAAAAUAACGCAUCGGAUUCGGAAGAGAAUAAUACGACAGAUUUUUCAUCUUUUGAAACUAUAUCAAGAGGACAAUUUGAUUUAUCAAGAUUAUUUAAAUUCUCCUUGAUCACAUAUGACGAUUCAGAAUUUUGUGUCGUAAAUUCCAAAUCUAUAACACAAAUCCAAGGAGGUACGUGUGUGGUGAAAUGUAAAGGCGGAAAAUAUGCAGCUAAAUUAAUUUCGACUAGCGAUACUUCUUGCGGAAAAACAAAAAAAUGCCGGUGGACAAUCGAUGAGCAAGAAGCUUUGACUGCUGAAUUUGGGGAUAUUUCUUCAAUGGAAAAGUUGCCAUCUCUCAAGGAGUGCAUGAGGGUCGUGUCUGAAAAUGAAGUGCUAUGCUGCAGAACCCCAGCACAAGUAAAAACGUUUAUAGACAACAAAAGGAAAAAAGGCAAAAAAAAUUAAGCAAUCUCUUCAACAAUAAUUUUCCAAAACCCUUUUCGGGUAGUUAUUUUACAAUGCAAUGUUGUUAAAUUAAUAUAUGCACAAUGUGCACUAAAUCUUGUAUUAAUUUCAUAUUGUAGAUACAAAAUAUUUGACCAACAAUUUUUCCAUUAGGUCUUAUAGUAAAUUAUUAUACACAUUAUAAUAUAAUUAUAAAUGUAUACUUAUAUAAACAAAAAUAAGUCAUAUAAUUUAAUACAAACCGCUUUAUUUAUACACAAAUAUAAAAACUUCAAAUGUUUAUUUAAAAUUAAGAGUGCAAUAAAAUUGCACUAUAACUCUAACUGUAUUAUAAAUAUAUAAAAUAUUUAAUAAUA